AGAAUGGUGGGGCAGGAGAGCAGGGGUACCAGACCAAAGCAAGGCCCCGGUCACUGUCAUCGGGGCGAGCCUCUGGUGGUUACUGAAAAUUCUUUGCUCCUGUACGCUGCAGUCCCGCCUGGCCCUCAUACAUGCUGCCAACACCAGCCCCACUCGCACUCAGUGACCGCGCCGUAGCCACUGCUCACACCCGUUGGCGGUGCCUGGCACCAGCCCUGAUCACUCAGCGCCAUCUGCAGGUGUGAACUGUGGCUGCCAGCCCUGAUCACCCUCAGAUCUUUUCCACCUUUCCCUGCUCCUGAGGGAUGACUGGGACAGC
Pipistrellus kuhlii (Kuhl's pipistrelle) is the source of this 319-nucleotide long non-coding RNA. RefSeq lists it as uncharacterized. NCBI's taxonomy places the organism in Eukaryota, Metazoa, Chordata, Mammalia, Chiroptera, Vespertilionidae. The transcript has 3 exons. The record is from RefSeq and is a predicted model, not a curated record.